AUUGAACGCUGGCGGCAGGCCUAACACAUGCAAGUCGAGCGGAUGAAGGGAGCUUGCUCCUGGAUUCAGCGGCGGACGGGUGAGUAAUGCCUAGGAAUCUGCCUGGUAGUGGGGGAUAACGUCCGGAAACGGGCGCUAAUACCGCAUACGUCCUGAGGGAGAAAGUGGGGGAUCUUCGGACCUCACGCUAUCAGAUGGGCCUAGGUCGGAUUAGCUAGUUGGUGGGGUAAAGGCCUACCAAGGCGACGAUCCGUAACUGGUCUGAGAGGAUGAUCAGUCACACUGGAACUGAGACACGGUCCAGACUCCUACGGGAGGCAGCAGUGGGGAAUAUUGGACAAUGGGCGAAAGCCUGAUCCAGCCAUGCCGCGUGUGUGAAGAAGGUCUUCGGAUUGUAAAGCACUUUAAGUUGGGAGGAAGGGCAGUAAGUUAAUACCUUGCUGUUUUGACGUUACCAACAGAAUAAGCACCGGCUAACUUCGU
This 483-nucleotide ribosomal RNA is filed under the name uncultured bacterium. RNAcentral's name for it is "partial 16S ribosomal RNA". It matches the Rfam family "Bacterial small subunit ribosomal RNA", at positions 30 to 506 of the family's 1533-position model. The record is from RNAcentral.